CUCAUACUCCCUUCAUUCGGAAUUACUUGCCGCGAAAAUGGAUGUAUCUAGAUGUAUUUUAGUUAUAGAUACAUCUAUUUCCGAGACAAGUAAUUUCGAACAGAGGGAGUAUAAC
Molecule: non-coding RNA, 115 nt
Organism: Triticum aestivum (bread wheat)
Lineage: Eukaryota; Viridiplantae; Streptophyta; Magnoliopsida; Poales; Poaceae
Source: Rfam